Molecule: ribosomal RNA, 538 nt
Filed under: uncultured soil bacterium
Lineage: Bacteria
Description: bacterial SSU rRNA
Rfam family: Bacterial small subunit ribosomal RNA
Source: RNAcentral
UCCACCCUCGGCACCGGAAUAGCCCGGGGAAACCCGGAUUAAUGCCGGAUGGCCCGCCGGCCCCUCGGGGCUGGCGGAAAAGGUAGCUUCGGCCUCCGGCCGAGGACGAGCCCGCGACGGAUUAGCUUGUUGGUGGGGUAACGGCCUACCAAGGCUGCGAUCCGUAGCUGGUCUGAGAGGACGAUCAGCCACACUGGGACUGAGACACGGCCCAGACUCCUACGGGAGGCAGCAGUGGGGAAUCUUGCGCAAUGGGCGAAAGCCUGACGCAGCGACGCCGCGUGGGGGAAGAAGGCCUUCGGGUUGUAAACCUCUUUCAGGAGGGACGAAGCCACUCGGGUUAAUAGCCCAGAGGGUGACGGUACCUCCAGAAGAAGCCCCGGCUAACUACGUGCCAGCAGCCGCGGUAAUACGUAGGGGGCAAGCGUUGUCCGGAUUUAUUGGGCGUAAAGAGCGUGUAGGCGGCCAGGUAGGUCUGCUGUGAAAACUCGAGGCUUAACCUCGAGCUGUCGGCGGAAACCAUCUGGCUAGAGUCCGG